This 670-nucleotide ribosomal RNA is filed under the name Streptomyces sp. 1-2. RNAcentral describes it as "bacterial SSU rRNA". It matches the Rfam family "Bacterial small subunit ribosomal RNA", at positions 60 to 747 of the family's 1533-position model. Lineage: Bacteria; Bacillati; Actinomycetota; Actinomycetes; Kitasatosporales; Streptomycetaceae. The record is from RNAcentral.
AGUCGAACGAUGACCACUUCGGUGGGGAUUAGUGGCGAACGGGUGAGUAACACGUGGGCAAUCUGCCCUGCACUCUGGGACAAGCCCUGGAAACGGGGUCUAAUACCGGAUACAACCACUGACCGCAUGGUCGGGUGGUGGAAAGCUCCGGCGGUGCAGGAUGAGCCCGCGGCCUAUCAGCUUGUUGGUGAGGUAACGGCUCACCAAGGCGACGACGGGUAGCCGGCCUGAGAGGGCGACCGGCCACACUGGGACUGAGACACGGCCCAGACUCCUACGGGAGGCAGCAGUGGGGAAUAUUGCACAAUGGGCGAAAGCCUGAUGCAGCGACGCCGCGUGAGGGAUGACGGCCUUCGGGUUGUAAACCUCUUUCAGCAGGGAAGAAGCGAGAGUGACGGUACCUGCAGAAGAAGCGCCGGCUAACUACGUGCCAGCAGCCGCGGUAAUACGUAGGGCGCAAGCGUUGUCCGGAAUUAUUGGGCGUAAAGAGCUCGUAGGCGGCUUGUCGCGUCGGUUGUGAAAGCCCGGGGCUUAACCCCGGGUCUGCAGUCGAUACGGGCAGGCUAGAGUUCGGUAGGGGAGAUCGGAAUUCCUGGUGUAGCGGUGAAAUGCGCAGAUAUCAGGAGGAACACCGGUGGCGAAGGCGGAUCUCUGGGCCGAUACUGACGCU